AGGGAGGGUGAGAGAGAUAGAAACGGUGAGGGAGAAGGAGAGGGAGAGAGAGUGGGAGGCAGAGGGAAACGAUUGCAGAAUUUAGAAGUCUGCAAGGAGAAGCUAAGCAAUCCGUUUCAGAGAGGCGUGGCAGGAGAAAUCAAAAGGCGGAAAGAAGUGUGGAGAAGACGGGGCCAGGUCCACCUGUAGAUCACUCGCUUCGGAGUCUCGCUGAACUGCAGCUACUCGUAUACCGGCUGCGUUGGUUUAAUACCAAGACAGCGAGCAGCUGUGUAAAUGUAAUGUUCUCGCUUGGAAAUGAAAAGGGCCGCUGUUGGGUUUGAUUUGAAAUCCAUGCUCGCUGCUCGUCUGUGCUGAAUCAAUCCAGCACGGAGGAGAUGUCAGCACCAAGAGGCUGGACAGCUCCCGGGACUCCAAUCGACACGCUCUGAGUUGAGCUGCAACUCAGGUGCCAGCUAUAAAAAGGCAGGAAGGCGAUGUCAGCCCUCCCUCCUAACCCCUCCGACCAAGCGACCUUAAAGGAGCGGACAUGUGUGCCACUCACCAGCUGACCAUUGGAGGUAGCUGGGCGACCCGGGUUCGGUGAACGGGGGAAUGGUGCUCCCUGGUGGCAGGAGGGCUGUACUGCAAUGUACAAAGACCCCCUGUAACCCAUAGAGGAACAGGCGACCUAUCAGCACCCCUUCAUCACAGGACGACUCCAUCUCCCGGUUUAGCGCUCACCAAGUCACAUUUUCGCAUGGACCCGUGGUUUGCAUGAAUUCGUUCUGGAGGAGGAAAGGGCCGACAGGCUGCAAUGUUUUGGAGCACGUUUUGGAUCUCCGGCAAGAGACGAGCAGCACGAAGACAUCUCGUGUUUCUGUUUCAUGUUAUAAUUAAAUCCAAUAAGAAAGCUCUUUCAAAAAAUUGUUGAGUUAUAACACAGAAAGGGUAUGGGCAUUUCAUUUUUAAAGACUGACUCCUUUAUAAAAGUAAGCCACAAUCAAUGUAACUAUUCGGUUACUAGGCGUUUGUGUCAAGUAACUACAAGAAUUAAAACAAGUGGACAUAUGC
Long non-coding RNA from Polyodon spathula (Mississippi paddlefish), 1053 nucleotides. RefSeq lists it as uncharacterized. The record is from RefSeq and is a predicted model, not a curated record. The transcript is spliced from 6 exons. Lineage: Eukaryota; Metazoa; Chordata; Actinopteri; Acipenseriformes; Polyodontidae.